GUCCAGACUCCUACGGGAGGCAGCAGUGGGGGAUAUUGCACAAUGGGGGAAACCCUGAUGCAGCGACGCCGCGUGGGUGAAGAAGUAUUUCGGUAUGUAAAGCCCUCUCAGCAGGGAAGAAAGAAGACGGUACCUGACUAAGAAGCCCCGGCUAACUACGUGCCAGCAGCCGCGGUAAUACGUAGGGGGCGAGCGUUAUCCGGAUUCACUGGGUGUAAAGGGGGCGUAGACGGCCGUGCAAGCCAGGAGUGAAAGCCCGGGGCCCAACCCCGGGACUGCUCUUGGAACUGUGCGGCUGGAGUGCGGGAGGGGCAGGCGGAAUUCCUGGUGUAGCGGUGAAAUGCGUAGAUAUUAGGAGGAACACCAGUGGCGAAGGCGGCUUACUGGACUGUAACUGACGUUGAGGCUCGAAAGCGUGGGGAGCAAACAGGAUUAGAUACCCGCGUAUAC
Molecule: ribosomal RNA, 450 nt
Filed under: uncultured bacterium
Lineage: Bacteria
Description: bacterial SSU rRNA
Rfam family: Bacterial small subunit ribosomal RNA
Source: RNAcentral